Molecule: ribosomal RNA, 305 nt
Filed under: uncultured bacterium
Lineage: Bacteria
Description: bacterial SSU rRNA
Rfam family: Bacterial small subunit ribosomal RNA
Source: RNAcentral
UACCACCUACGGGGCGCAGCAGUGAGGAAUAUUGGUCAAUGGGCGCGAGCCUGAACCAGCCAAGUAGCGUGCAGGACGACGGCCCCAUGGGUUGUAAACUGCUUUUAUACGGGGAUAAAGUAUGCCACGUGUGGUUUACUGCAGGUACCGUAUGAAUAAGGACCGGCUAAUUCCGUGCCAGCAGCCGCGGUAAUACGGAAGGUCCGGGCGUUAUCCGGAUUUAUUGGGUUUAAAGGGAGCGUAGGCCGGGUUUUAAGCGUGCCGUGAAAUGUCGGGGCUCAACCUUCACACUGCGGCGCGAACUG